Molecule: long non-coding RNA, 411 nt
Filed under: Physcomitrium patens
Lineage: Eukaryota; Viridiplantae; Streptophyta; Bryopsida; Funariales; Funariaceae
Description: long non-coding RNA (PPAT_LNC008191)
Source: RNAcentral
UGGAAAUUCGGGCGAUCAAUGCCCUGGGCAAUGCGCUUGGCCUUAUGCUCUACCCCAGUAUGGUCCUCAAGGAGCCAAGGCCUUGGUGGCUCCCAACGCUGACGCUGGAAUGGACGGCAUGGUGAUCAACAUAGCGAGCAUGCUGGCCGGGACUGUGACCAAUCCUUUCAACAACGGAUACUACCAGGGUGAUGCCUCAGCUCCUUUGGAAGCUGCAACUGCGUGCACUGGUAUCUAUGGUGCUGGGGCUUACCCUGGCAACCCGGGGCAGCUGAUAGUCGACCCCAUUACGAGCGCCAGCUACAAUGCGCAAGGAGUCGACAGCAGAAAAUACUUGCUCCCUGCGUUGUGGGAUCCCGCCACUCUCACAUGCAUGCCUGUCUCAUGAGCUAGUGUUGCUUUACGCAUUGC